Molecule: ribosomal RNA, 122 nt
Filed under: Capra hircus (goat)
Lineage: Eukaryota; Metazoa; Chordata; Mammalia; Artiodactyla; Bovidae
Source: RNAcentral
GUCUAUGGCCAUACCACCCUGAACACGCCCGAUCUCGUCUGAUCUCGGAAGUUAAGCAGAGUCAGGCCUGGUUAGUACUUGGAUGGAAGAAAUGUCUAGAGAGAACCCAUUCCCUGCUCACU